This 1060-nucleotide ribosomal RNA is filed under the name Arthrobacter sp. OTB99. Its description in RNAcentral is "bacterial SSU rRNA". It matches the Rfam family "Bacterial small subunit ribosomal RNA", at positions 371 to 1440 of the family's 1533-position model. Lineage: Bacteria; Bacillati; Actinomycetota; Actinomycetes; Micrococcales; Micrococcaceae. The record is from RNAcentral.
AUGGGCGCAAGCCUGAUGCAGCGACGCCGCGUGAGGGAUGACGGCCUUCGGGUUGUAAACCUCUUUCAGUAGGGAAGAAGCGUAAGUGACGGUACCUGCAGAAGAAGCGCCGGCUAACUACGUGCCAGCAGCCGCGGUAAUACGUAGGGCGCAAGCGUUAUCCGGAAUUAUUGGGCGUAAAGAGCUCGUAGGCGGUUUGUCGCGUCUGCCGUGAAAGUCCGGGGCUCAACUCCGGAUCUGCGGUGGGUACGGGCAGACUAGAGUGAUGUAGGGGAGACUGGAAUUCCUGGUGUAGCGGUGAAAUGCGCAGAUAUCAGGAGGAACACCGAUGGCGAAGGCAGGUCUCUGGGCAUUAACUGACGCUGAGGAGCGAAAGCAUGGGGAGCGAACAGGAUUAGAUACCCUGGUAGUCCAUGCCGUAAACGUUGGGCACUAGGUGUGGGGGACAUUCCACGUUUUCCGCGCCGUAGCUAACGCAUUAAGUGCCCCGCCUGGGGAGUACGGCCGCAAGGCUAAAACUCAAAGGAAUUGACGGGGGCCCGCACAAGCGGCGGAGCAUGCGGAUUAAUUCGAUGCAACGCGAAGAACCUUACCAAGGCUUGACAUGAACCGGACCGCUGCAGAAAUGUGGUUUCCCCUUUGGGGCUGGUUUACAGGUGGUGCAUGGUUGUCGUCAGCUCGUGUCGUGAGAUGUUGGGUUAAGUCCCGCAACGAGCGCAACCCUCGUUCUAUGUUGCCAGCACGUGAUGGUGGGGACUCAUAGGAGACUGCCGGGGUCAACUCGGAGGAAGGUGGGGACGACGUCAAAUCAUCAUGCCCCUUAUGUCUUGGGCUUCACGCAUGCUACAAUGGCCGGUACAAAGGGUUGCGAUACUGUGAGGUGGAGCUAAUCCCAAAAAGCCGGUCUCAGUUCGGAUUGGGGUCUGCAACUCGACCCCAUGAAGUCGGAGUCGCUAGUAAUCGCAGAUCAGCAACGCUGCGGUGAAUACGUUCCCGGGCCUUGUACACACCGCCCGUCAAGUCACGAAAGUUGGUAACACCCGAAGCCGGUGGCCUAACC